GCACAGCGCUGCCGGGACACGCCGUGACCCGGGAGGGCACCGAGCCGGGCCGUGCCAAAGUUUCCUCGGCAGCGGGCGCGUCCCCUCCCGGCGGAGCAGCCCGGGGCCGGUGCUGUGUCCACGUGUGUCCGCCCGGGAUGUGCUUCCCUGGCAGCCGGGAACCCGCUGGGCAUCCCGUGCCGUGCCGUGCCGUGCCGUGCCGUGCCGUGCCGUGCCAGCUCAGCGGUGCUGCCGUGCCCAUGGGGGCAGCGGGGCUGUGGGCAGCAUCCUGUGCACCCAGGGCCCCCCGGAGCCGUCCCAGAUCCGCCCCCGCUCCAUCCCGGAGCCGUCCCAGCCGUCCCCGCUCACCGGAGCAGGGCCCGGGCGGUCUCUGCUCCUCCUGCCCGGCCGGGCCCGGGGCCCAGCGCAGCCGGGGCUCCGCCAGGAGAGCCCCAGGCUCCCCGGGCCCGUCCCUCUGGGCAGCAGCACCGGCGCUCGCCUCCCCCUUUCCCGAAAUCUCCUCUCCUGAGCGACAGCCAAGGAGAAUGUGCGGAGCCGGAACGAGCCGGGCAGCCGGCAGGAUGCGAGGUGCGAGUGCUGGCACAUGUUGUGCCCAACUGCUCCUCGGUGGCACGGAGCCACUGCCGGCUCCUGUCGCACGCUGCCAGCCCCCAGCAGAGCCCCUGCCUGUCCCCACCAGGCACUGGUGUCCCCAGCGAGGUCUGGGGGCCUCAGGGCCAGCAGCUGGAUCAGCCCAGGCAGUCUGGCCUUCCUCAGGGUGGCAGGAAGCUGUGGGGUUUGUUUUGGUGUAAAUAAUGAGGGUUUGGAGCUCAGUUCCUGUGAGUCAGUGCCCAGGUGGGGAACAGGGGUCGCGAGGGCCUGGCUGAGGGUGCUGCUGGCCAGGGCGUGCACAGAACUCCUGGGCUCCUGUCCCAGCCCAGCCCGGGCCCAGAGCUGACCAGCAGUGCCAGCUAUGCCAGGCCACAGGUGGCACGAGCCUGGCAUCCUCAGCCAGGCAGGGAGCACCCGGGGUGGCACUCUGGUGGCCCAGGGUCCCGUGUGGUGGCUGCAGGGACCUCCCCUCCCUGCAUGGGGCACGGCGAGGGACAGACACCCAUGGCUUGUGCCCUGAGGCUUCUCCCUGUCCUGCCCUGCUUCAGGGUGGGCUGCACUGGGGGUGGGGCUGUGUCCGGUUCCUGAGCACCCCCUGGUUGUCACCAGCUUGUCCCCGAGUCUGUCUCCAUCCCGUGGGGUCACAGCUGCCAUCGCCUGUCACCUCCAGCACAGCCCCACCGGAGCGGGCUCCCCGGGGUGACAGGAGGUGCUGCCAGAGGCUCUCCCUGCUCUGUCACCGCCCCUGGCACUCCCUGACCCUGUCCCCAGUGCCAGGGGCGCUGCGUGGGCCCCACGCGUGGGUGCUGUGGCAGUGUGUCUGUCCUCCAUGUCUGUCCCCACGGGUUUGCCCCAUCAUGUCUGUCCCCCCGUGUCUGUCCCCAUGUCUUUUCACCUGUGUCAGCCCGUGUCCGUUCCCUGUCCCCGUCCCCCCGUGCCCGUUCCCGCAGCCUCUAGAUGGUGCCAGGAGAACGGGCAGCGAGCGGAGGCGGCGGCCGGGCGGUGCCGGGUGCUGUGGGGGUACCGGGGCACCACCGGCGUGCCAGGACGGGCCCCGUGGCUCUCCCCGUGCCCCCAGCUCAGCCCCUCCUUCCCCUGGAAGAAACCCGUUGUGCUGCUUUCCCCAGGCAGCCCAUCCCAAAGAGCCCCUCGGGUCCCGUUCCGUCCCGGUGCUGAGCAGCCGCCACCGUGCCCCGGGGCCAGCGCCAUUGCCAAGGUCCCGCCUGCGGCCGGUGCUGCCCGGCCCGGGAUCCAUCCCUCGUGGCGGUGUCCGCCGCGCUCGGUCCCUGGCAGCCCCGGGAGCUCGGGACGGGCCCCGGGCCGGGGCAGCCCCGGGGGUCGGAGCCCCUGGCAGGGGCUCGGGGUGCCCAUCACCGCCGGGGCUGCCCCACGGCUCCGGCCGCGGCCCCUCCCUGACCUUGGGGGCAGCCCCCGGGACCCCCGGCUGUCACCCCUGGGGUGGCAGCUCGCGCAGGGGGACACCGAGCUGGGGGCUCCGAGCCCCGCGCAGCUCCGCCGCCCCUUCCCCUGGGAAUCCCCGUGGGUGGGCUCUGUCCCAGGGACCCAGGGGACACCCGGCGCCCCUCGGGCGGUGUCCCCGGGCCGGGCGGGGGCUGCUGGCCCCGCGGGCGGGACACGCCGGAGCCCCCGGGGGAGCGGUCCCCCCGCCCGGGCUGCGGCUCCCGGCGUGCUCCGCUCCCGCCUUCCCUCCCUCCCUGCUUCCCUCCGCUGCUCCUUCCCAGCAUCCCCGCAGCAUCCCCGGCAGCUUUGGCUGCUGUCGCCGGAGCGCGACAGGCGCGGGUGGCCGUGGGACCGCGGCCGUGUGGGGCUCAGCCCCUGGCUCCGCUCUGGCCGAGCCGCGGCCAAGGGACAAGCGACCUUCUCGCUGAAUUCCGAGGGGAUUCGGCACGCUGGGAAUAUUCUGGGCUUUCCGGGUCAUUUCCCGCUGCCCACCCUGCCCGAGCCCAUCCCUCGGUGUGACGAGCCGGGUGUUCCCUUUCCGAGCACAAAUCCCACUCGUGGUCCCGCGGGGAGGCGGGGGCUCUUCGCACGGUUUGGGAUUGCACGAGGUGAUAAACAUGUUUGAUCUGGCUCCUUUCAUCUCGUUAAUCUUAAUUAGUUAUUAAUAUUCCGGGAGUGCUUUGAAGACCACGAGCUCAGUGCGGGCUCUCCCUGGUACAACUGGUGUUACUAUGGCUCAGUGUGCGGGCCACCGAGGGGCAGGGAUGCCCCAGAGGGACCUGACUGUCCCCACGGAGCCCCGUGGAACCCCCUGGGGUCACAUGGAGCCCUGCUGAGCCCCAUGGAGCCCCACACAGCCCCGCUGAGCCCCAGGGAGCCCACAGAGAUCCACAGAGCCCCGUGGAGUCCCAAAGAGCCCCAUCGAGUCCCAAAGAGCCCCAUGGAGUCCCCAGGAGCUCUGCUGAGCCCUGCAAAGUCCCAUGAGGACCUGCUGAGCCCCGUGGGGUCCCACAGAGCCCCACGGAGUCCCACGGCAUGCCACGGGGCCCUGCCAGGCCCAGCUGGUCCCAGUGCCAGCUCAGCCCCUGUGUACCCAGGGCACAGCACCAGGAUGGUGACACUGGGGGCUGACCCACGUGUGGGGCGUGUGACAGUGUCCCUGCAGCCUCCCCGUGGGCCCCGGGCUGGCUCCCCGGGCAGCGGCACCUCCCGCCUGACCUAGAAACAGCCGCGAGCUAUAAAUAGGGAGAGCGCUGCCAGAGAGCUCGGAGGAGCCGCGAGCGGGAGGCUGCGGGAGCCAGGAUGGCACCGCAAGGACAGGCAGGGGACACGGGGGGAGAGGGGAGGCUGCAGCCACCCCGUCCCUAUCGGCCCAUGGUGGGGCGGGCGGCUGUGCCUCUCCCUGGCCCGUGUGUGCUGCGGUGACACCGAGCCCAGCUCUGCCCUUCUCCCCCUUUUCCUUCUUUCGCGCACCUCCACUGCUCAGAGGCCCUCCUGCCCCGUGCCAGCCCCGUGCCAGCCCCGUGCCAGCCCGCACCCAGCCCAGCCCGGGCACCGCGCUCCGGCAUUUCUCCUCCCAGCGCCGUCCGAUGCCUCCAUCCCGCCGGGAAUCGCCCACCCUGGGAGCGCCCCAGCCGCGGGAGCCGGGAGCUGAGGCGGGACCCGGGCGGAGGGGGAUGGAGGGACAGGGACAGGGACCGGGACAGGGACAGGGACAGGGACCGGGACAGGGACCGGGAGCCGCAGCCGCCCCCGCCGCCCUGCCCGGGGCAGGAAGAGGGUGACAGUGGCACAAAUGAAAGCGCAGUGUCGGAGUGUGAUUCAGCCUCUUGCCUUAAAGUCAUUCAUGAAAAGCCUUAAUUGCUCUGCAUGCUCAGAGCGGAGCGGAGCCAUCCGUGAGUCAGAGCCGGCGGCUCCCGGCCCUCCCCGCUUGCUGCGGGCUCGGGGGCAGCGGCACGGCUCGGUCCAGCGGGGGCACAGCGGAUGUGCGGGAACAGUCCUUGUCCCCCUCGGAGGGUGGGGCAGCCCCACCUCUGUGGGUCCCUUUAAAGUGACAGUGCAGGAGCCAAGGGACCUGGCACCCAGCUGAGAGACAAGGACGUGCCAAGGCAAAUCCUGGCCAGUGUUAAACAUCCCUGCUUGGCUUUGGUGGGCACAGAAGGAAAUCCGGGAAGACGAAGUGUGUCCAGGGAUGCUCCAAGAGGGAGCACAGUGCCAACCCCUCGCCUUCCUCCUGGAAAGCUGUCACUGUCCCCCAGGCUGGGGGUGCCUGGGAGCUCCUGGUGCCCAGCUCCAGCACCACUUGCUGAAAGUGUUGCCAAAUCUAAGGCACCUGAAGGGAAGCCCCCGUGAUGUGUUUGCCUCAUCUGGCAUUCCCUGGCUUGGCCUGAACGUUCCCACCAUUCAUGAGCCACAGGGGAAGCCACAUGUCCUGCACACAUUGAGGAGCAGCAUUUGGGGGGCUGCCUGUGCCAUGGUGGGCAUCACCUGUGCCAUGGUGGCUCAGGUUGCCCAGAGAAGCUGUGGCCACCCCAUCCCUGGAGCUGUCCAAGGCCCUGCUGGAUGGGGCUUGGAGCAGCCUGGAAGGUGUCCCAUGGCAGGGGUUGGAACAAGAUGAUCCUGAAGGUCCCUUCCAACCCAAACCAUUCCCUGUCCCAGGGUGGGCACCACCCACCCUCGGGGGCAUCACCCAUGCCAAAGGAGAGGGCACAGAGCCUGGGAGGGCUCAAGGACAGCAGGGCCCAGGGAAGCAGGACUCGGUCCUGUGCUGGUGACCCCGGAUCAGCCUCGGGUGGGCUCGGGUGUGAAGCCGCCCCCUGCGGAGCACCGCUCCCGUCCCCAUUGUCCCCAGCGCCCUGCUCCGAGCCGAGCCCGCGCUACCGGAGCUCCGCACGGCGGGGAGGGGGCGGCUCAGCCCCGGCCCCCCUUUCCCGGGCUGCUCCCGCACCGACUCCCGCGGCUACAUCGGGGGGCGGGGACAGGCAGCGCCCCGCAUCGCUCAUUCCGCAUCCCCCAUCCCCGCGGGGCCGGCGGCGGAGCCCCCCCGCGCCUCCCGCUCCUCCCGCUCCGCGCUCCCUCCCCGGGGCGGCGCCGGUGCCGGUGCGGGCGGAGCGCGGCGCGGGGCGGGCGCUGCCGGGGCUGCGGGGGGCGCCGCGCUCCGCUCCCUCCGCUCCCUCCGCUCCCUCGGCUCCGCUCCGCUCCUCCGGCGGCGGCGGGGCCGCGGCAUGAGGAGCCCGGCGGGGCGGGCGGAGCGCGGCGGCGGCGGCGGCGGCGGCGGCUCCUCUCCCGCCGGGGACGGGGCGCGGCGGCGGCUCGCCCCUCCGAUCCCAACCGUGCGGUGCUGUCGGCGCUGACGGAAGAGUUUUUGGGAGGGAGAUGAUGACAGGCUGAUGAAACCAAUCAAACAAUGAAGUAAUCACAAGUCCCCGGUGCUGGCGGCGAAGGCGGGAGGAGCUGCAGGCUGGAGGAGCGGAGGUCCUAAGGAAGCCAUCCUGCUCGGCAGCAAAAACCCCGCGAGGCAGAAGCACUGAGAGGCGGCCAAGGUCCUGUCAUCGGGGCCGAUGGACAGAGACGGCCCCGUGUGCGGGAGGGCAGGAAAAUCCUGCUGGCAGCUCCGGGAGAGCAGUACGGAGGGCGCAGGGGACGGUGCAGGAGGGAGGAGCGGCGGCUCCCCGGGGAGCCGGCGGAGGAGAGUCCUGGCUUUGUUUGCUCUUCCCGAAUCGCUCUGUGAAACCUGAAUCCUGGGACCAAAGGCUGAGGAAGCUUGUCACAGGCUGCUGGCCAGGAUGGGAGAUGGUUCCUGCAGCGGGGGACACUACGGAUGGCUGUGACAGGGCCUGACCCUGCCCUGCAUCUGGAACAUCUGCACUGGGAGAGCAGCUCCUGCCGCUGGGAGCCCGCGCUGGGCUGAGCGUUCAUCGGCUUUGCCGAAGAGAAUCCUGCUGCCAGGCAGGCUGCUCUGCUCUGGGCAGGGAACUG
RNA transcript from Passer domesticus (house sparrow), 6030 nucleotides. It is a transcript of the gene named SH3 domain binding kinase 1, with no coding region annotated. The record is from RefSeq and is a predicted model, not a curated record. Lineage: Eukaryota; Metazoa; Chordata; Aves; Passeriformes; Passeridae. The transcript has 2 exons.